UGUAUGCUUUGGUAUCAAAGUUUUUUUUGUUUCUCUCUCGGUGUUGUACGAGGCGAUUAGACUGACGUGACUGUCUCUGACGUUGUUCUCAUCAAAGUUGUUGACAUCGCUGCAGGGAUUUUUCCACUGUUUCUUGCGGUGAUUUCUGUCUGAUCUACCUUUUGCUCUUAUGAUUCUUUUGGUCUUUUUUAUCGUUUUUCUCUUUUAAAAUUUUGUAUGAUCUUGGAUUAUGUGCAUGGAAUUUUGACAUGCUUGUUGGAGUUGUGGAACCCACGGGGGUUGCGAUUCCUAUUGGUCAUUUUUUUUAUUUCUUUAAGUACUCUUGGUGUUAGUUUAUGGAUGAAAAAGGUGUUAUUAAACUCUUCACGUCCUUUUGUUUGGUCGCAUGCAUGCAGGGGUUUUGGGAUCGUUUCUUGAACUCUGGUAAGGCAAGGCAUUUGAUUUGCGUUCUUUUGGUUGUUUUUUAGUUUUUUAUCUUUUUUUGUCUUCUUCUUUCUUCUUUUUUCCUUGUUUUCUGUUUUCUUCCUUGUGAUAAUCUCCUAGACUUCCAGUCUGGGUUUUUUCCUGGUCUCAUCUACUUUUUUUAGGUUUUGCUGUUCUUGUUUCUGGUUCGUGUUGUCUUUGUUUGCACUAAGUGCUUGGCGGCCUCUGACUCUGGUCUUCUUGGCGUUUGGGUUUUCUUUGGGUUGAGGGUUUCUGGGGGUGCAGGUUUUUUUUUGGCUUCUAUUAGUGCUUUCACUUUUUUUGUGGGCUUUUUUUCGUGACAGUUUUCCUUUUCGGUGGUGCCUAUGGAGGAAAGGUCGGAAAGUGAUAUGCCACCAUCGACGGAUGAGUUAAAUGAACGCCUGGAAAGGCUAAAAUUCUCAGAAGAAGAGUCUGUUCAGGUUAUC
This 890-nucleotide long non-coding RNA is filed under the name Gossypium raimondii (Peruvian cotton). RNAcentral's name for it is "long non-coding RNA (GRAI_LNC009022)". Lineage: Eukaryota; Viridiplantae; Streptophyta; Magnoliopsida; Malvales; Malvaceae. The record is from RNAcentral.